UAAUGACCUACGGUGUCACGUAAGAGAAAGACUGCAAAAGGGCCAUUGGCUUUAGACCCAGAGGUCCUUAAUGACUUGUGACCGGAGAAGCUGCAGUGGGAGUGGAGGCAGAGAUUAUUGAGGGAUGGGUGGGAGGUGAGGAAACAGCUGGUCAGUCUGACGAUCUACGUGCAUGAAUUUGCCUGUGAAGGAGAGGAGAAAGGAUGAGAGUAACUGGAGAGAUGUGGGAUUGAGACAAGGUUUUACUUUUACUGCAAAAAGGAGCAUUUUUCUGUUGAUGUGGAGGCUGUAAAGAGGGGCCAGGGAAGGUGCACAUCGUGAUGUGGGUGAGCGAAGGAGGAAAGAAAGAGCACUGCGCCCUGUCCCAGAGCUGGCAGUCAAGAAAUGGUUUAACGUGCUCUCUCGCCAGCUGGGAGGGCUAUAAAUGUCGUUUGGAUGCCUUCCAGGAAUGAGCCAAGGGACACAGAUGGAUUUCGUGGGGAGGUGGUGUUUCUCAUGGCUGCCGGAACACGUGGGAGAUUGUGGUACCCAUCUUCAUCUAGGCCUCAUGUGCCCCCUGCAGUGUGGGGCACCUGGCCAGUGUCUUCCCUCCCUCCAAGAAUCUCUCAAGAGGAAGCAGUAAAGGAAACAUGAUGACAUUCAGCUUACAAAGUACUCUGUGCACCUCUCAUUAAAGAUGCUGCAUAAGUGGAAGCAUUAGUAGUUCAGAAUUAACCAGGCACCGGGGACGCCAUUUAGACUACAGCUGGUACUUUGCAUUGUAAUGUACAAAAAUUGCUGUCAGAGCCGAACUGGGGCUCGUUCAUUGCAUUUUACUUUGAACAAAUGUGUGUGGGCCUGAGUGGGACAGGCUGCUGGGGACUCACCUUUCUGGGCAUCCCUGUGAGGUAAAUGGCACCAUCCAGCUUCCAGGCAUCUGGGUAAGAUUGCCCUACAAUUGAUCAGCCUGCCCCAUCAUUGCAGGAAUCUUCCUAAAAUUUUGUUUCCAGAAGAGACAAAAAAUGAACUGACACUAGGAGCCCACAAUCUUGCUGCCUGCCCUUCUUGGCCUCAGAACACUGGCCGGUCGCCUACUGUAUGCAUGUCCCAAUGUGCUUCACCAACUCGUUCAAUGAUGUUCA
This 1121-nucleotide long non-coding RNA is filed under the name Equus caballus (horse). RNAcentral describes it as "lncRNA (ENSECAG00000031786.2)". Lineage: Eukaryota; Metazoa; Chordata; Mammalia; Perissodactyla; Equidae. The record is from RNAcentral.